GAUGAACGCUGGCGGCGUGCCUAAUACAUGCAAGUCGAGCGAACAGAUGAGGAGCUUGCUCCUCUGACGUUAGCGGCGGACAGGUGAGUAACACGUGGAUAACCUACCUAUAAGACUGGGAUAACUUCGGGAAACCGGAGCUAAUACCGGAUAAUAUAUUGAACCGCAUGGUUCAAUAGUGAAAGACGGUUUUGCUGUCACUUAUAGAUGGAUCCGCGCCGCAUUAGCUAGUUGGUAAGGUAACGGCUUACCAAGGCAACGAUGCGUAGCCGACCUGAGAGGGUGAUCGGCCACACUGGAACUGAGACACGGUCCAGACUCCUACGGGAGGCAGCAGUAGGGAAUCUUCCGCAAUGGGCGAAAGCCUGACGGAGCAACGCCGCGUGAGUGAUGAAGGUCUUCGGAUCGUAAAACUCUGUUAUUAGGGAAGAACAAAUGUGUAAGUAACUAUGCACGUCUUGACGGUACCUAAUCAGAAAGCCGCGGCUAACUACGUG
Molecule: ribosomal RNA, 497 nt
Filed under: uncultured bacterium
Lineage: Bacteria
Description: partial 16S ribosomal RNA
Rfam family: Bacterial small subunit ribosomal RNA
Source: RNAcentral